Paramormyrops kingsleyae is the source of this 492-nucleotide non-coding RNA. Lineage: Eukaryota; Metazoa; Chordata; Actinopteri; Osteoglossiformes; Mormyridae. The record is from RefSeq and is a predicted model, not a curated record.
CUGAAAGACUCUUGAUAUCGUUUGUAAUAGCGGGAGUCAGUUUUAGUUGGUGUGACGUCUGCAGACGUCAGGCGGGGAGUAUUCUGUCCCUCGGGUUAUUUCGGAGGUAUGUUUCUUUUUUAUAAGUUUGUUAUAGGACGGGUCAUAAUCAUUCGUUCUGUAAUUAAUUGUAGCAACGGGUCAGUAAAUAUGUUUAUUCCGGAUCAUCUCUGGGAAAAGCUUGCCAUCUAGUGGUUUAACUAGGAAGCGUCGUGUAAGAGCUCAAGCAGGGGGUUUCCUCCCAGCGCGCGACAGGGAAGGUCCAUUUCUCCGUGUCUCUGUGGAUUCCUGCAUCUGUUGCUCUUAAAAAGGCAUAAUCUUUUUACAAAAAGAAAAAAGGAUCAGUAAAGCUCUGAAGAAUACGACACAGUCUCCCGAGUGUUCACUGAAGCCAUUUAAUGUUUAGCUCUCUGCAUAAGCCGGAUAGAGAAAUUCAGAUGAGGGCAGAAGAGU